RNAcentral lists this ribosomal RNA (2154 nucleotides) under Triticum aestivum (bread wheat). RNAcentral describes it as "partial small subunit ribosomal RNA". Lineage: Eukaryota; Viridiplantae; Streptophyta; Magnoliopsida; Poales; Poaceae. The record is from RNAcentral.
AUGGACGCGGAGGGGCUGCUGGCGUCGGCGGCGAUCAACCUGGGGCUGGCGCUGGUUGCGCUGUCCCUCUUCUCCAUGCUCAAGAAGCAGCCCGGGAACGCGCCCGUCUACCUGCCGCGCCGGAUGGCGGGGGCCGCCGGCUCCGGCUGGGUGCUGCCCCUCGGCACCGGCCGGCUGACCCCGUCGUUCCGGUGGAUCCGCGCCGCCUUCCGGCUCUCCGACGACGACGUGCUGCGGCGCCACGGCCUCGACGCCCUCGCCGUCAUCCGCCUCUUCAAGCUCGGGAUCCAUUGUUUCAGCGUCUGCUCGAUUGUUGGAGUGUUGAUCCUCGCGCCGGUGAAUUACACAAGUGCAGGUCCGUCCGGCACCAAGAGGCCGAAUUCCAUGGAGAUUUUCACGGUGUCCAACGUGCCAAAGGGCUCUGACAGGCUCUGGGUGCAUUUUUCAUGCCUGUGCUUCAUAUCCUUUUAUGUGGUGUAUUUGCUUCACAAGGAGUACAAAGAGAUGUCCCACAAAAGAAUUGAACGCUUGAAGUAUCACAGGAAGAGACCUGAUCAGUUCACCAUUUUAGUUCAAGGAAUUCCAGUGUGCGCAGAUCAUGGAAUUUAUGGGUGUAAUGUUGAUCAUUUCUUCUCAAAGCACUACCAGACAUACCAAUCAUAUCAAAUACUGCAUGACAAUGGAAACAUCGAGUCAUUACAGAAGCUGGCAUCUUCACUUGAAAAACAGAUAGAGAGGAAAAGGGAUACCCGAAGAUGCAACUUUUGGCAGUGGAUCUGGUUUAAGUUCACAUCAGGACCGAUAGAUGCUCGCAGCCAGGAACAAAAACUGAAGGAAGUGCACCACUCUAUCCGAAUCCUGCAGUGCAAAAAUAUGCUUAAACAAAAGGAGUUACCAGUUGCUUUUGUCUCAUUCAAGUCCCGGUUGGAGGCUGCCCAAGCUGCUGAAACGCAACAGCAUGUCAAUCCGCUGUCACUGGUUACACGUUAUGCUCCUGAGCCAACUGAGACAAUAUGGUCAAAUCUGGCUAUUCCUUUCUACCGUCUUGCUGCAUACAAGCUUGGAGUCUUCAUUGCUGCAUUUUUACUAACAGUGUUCUUCACCAUCCCCGUCACAGCCGUGCAAGGGAUAGUGCAAUUUGAGAAGAUUGAGAAAUGGUUCCCACCGGCCAGAGCUGUGCAACUUAUGGUUAAUGCUAUGUCAUCUUGCAGACCAGGUUUGAGUUCUGUUGUAACUGGAUAUCUUCCAAGCAUGAUUUUGAACGGAUUUAUCUACUUGAUUCCGUUCGCAAUGCUUGGUAUGGCUUCGUUUGAAGGCUGCAUUUCAAAAAGUCAAACGGAAAUCAAGGCAUGCAACAUGGUGUUCUACUUCUUGCUAGGAAAUGUUUUCUUCCUGAGUAUUCUUUCAGGAUCUCUGCUCCAUCAGAUAGGAGAAUCCUUUACGCACCCUAAAGAUAUCCCUAGCCGUCUAGCAAGUGCUGUUUCUGCACAGUCAGAUUUCUUCAUCACAUAUAUCUUGACCAAUGGCAUGUCAGGCUUUUCCUUUGAGGUUCUUCAGUUUGGUUUGCUAACAUGGCACUUCUUGAAGGCGCAUACUGUUGGACAUAGUGAUGAACCAUAUCUGUAUGGCUUCCCUUACUACAGAGUUGUGCCCAUUGCUUCCCUUGCAGUAUUGAUUGGAAUGGUGUAUGCUGUCGUUUCACCUCUUCUGCUUCCGAUUCUUGUGAUCUACUUUUUGCUCGGUUAUGCCGUGUUCAUCAACCAGAUGGAAGAUGUAUAUGAGAUCACGUAUGACACCUGUGGACAAUAUUGGCCUACUAUCCACCACUACAUCUUCCUCUCGGUCACGCUCAUGCAAACUACAAUGAUAGGCUUGUUCGGCCUGAAGUCGAAGCCAGGAGCUUCAUUCGCCACAAUCCCCUUGCUUGUGUUGAACAUCAUGUUCAACGAGUACUGCAAGGUCCGGUUCCUUCCAACUUUCCAAUGCCGGCCGAUCCAGAUCUGCAAGGACAACGAUGACCUUGAUAAAACUGAGAGGGAGGCGGAAUGCAGCUCGGAACAUGCUGUCAGGGCGUACACGCCGCCAUGGAUGCGUCCGACAGGGUCCUCCCCAGAAUCUAGCUCGGUGCAGCCUUUAGUCCGUUGUUUGUUAUAA